RNAcentral lists this ribosomal RNA (429 nucleotides) under Verrucomicrobiota bacterium. Its description in RNAcentral is "Verrucomicrobia bacterium partial 16S ribosomal RNA". It matches the Rfam family "Bacterial small subunit ribosomal RNA", at positions 355 to 776 of the family's 1533-position model. The record is from RNAcentral. Lineage: Bacteria; Pseudomonadati; Verrucomicrobiota.
UAGGGAAUCUUCGGCAAUGGGGGGAACCCUGACCGAGCAACGCCGCGUGAGUGAAGAAGGUUUUCGGAUCGUAAAGCUCUGUUGUUAAGGAAGAACGAGUGUGAGAAUGGAAAGUUCAUGCUGUGACGGUACUUAACCAGAAAGGGACGGCUAACUACGUGCCAGCAGCCGCGGUAAUACGUAGGUCCCGAGCGUUGUCCGGAUUUAUUGGGCGUAAAGCGAGCGCAGGCGGUUAGAAAAGUCUGAAGUGAAAGGCAGUGGCUCAACCAUUGUAGGCUUUGGAAACUGUUUAACUUGAGUGCAGAAGGGGAGAGUGGAAUUCCAUGUGUAGCGGUGAAUUGCGUAGAUAUAUGGAGGAACACCGGUGGCAAAAGCGGCUCUCUGAUCUGUAACUGACGCUGAGGCUGGAAGGCGUGGGGAGCGAACAGG